RNAcentral lists this ribosomal RNA (253 nucleotides) under uncultured bacterium. RNAcentral describes it as "partial 16S ribosomal RNA". It matches the Rfam family "Bacterial small subunit ribosomal RNA", at positions 524 to 776 of the family's 1533-position model. The record is from RNAcentral.
UACGAAGGGGGCUAGCGUUGUUCGGAAUCACUGGGCGUAAAGCGCACGUAGGCGGAUCUUUAAGUCAGGGGUGAAAUCCCAGAGCUCAACUCUGGAACUGCCUUUGAUACUGGGGAUCUCGAGUUCGGGAGAGGUGAGUGGAACUGCGAGUGUAGAGGUGAAAUUCGUAGAUAUUGGGAAGAACACCGGUGGCGAAGGCGGCUCACUGGCUCGUAACUGACGCUCAUGCACGACAGCGUGGGGAUCAAACAGG